UCGUGUAGGUGGCGUACCGCAUCGUACCUGAAAGCCCGAGGCUUAACCUCGGCGUUGGGUACGAGAUGGGUACUCUUGAGGGUGGCAGAGGGAAGGGGAACCGACGGUGGAGCAGUGAAAUGCGUUGAUAUCGUCAGGAACACCGAAGGCGAAGGCACCUUUCUGGGCCACUCCUGACACUGAGACACGAAAGCUAGGGGAGCGAAGCAGAUUAGAGACCUGCGUAGUCCUAGCCUUAAACGCAUGUCUGCUAGAUGGUCCCCGUUCGGGGACUGUCGCAAGCUAACGCGUUAAGCAGACCGCCUGGGGAGUACGAUCGCAAGAUUAAA
Molecule: ribosomal RNA, 329 nt
Filed under: uncultured bacterium
Lineage: Bacteria
Description: bacterial SSU rRNA
Rfam family: Bacterial small subunit ribosomal RNA
Source: RNAcentral